UACGGAGGGUGCGAGCGUUGUCCGGAAUCAUUGGGCGUAAAGGGCGCGUAGGUGGCCUGUGCAAGCGUGCGGUGAAAGCUCGGGGCUCAACCCCGAGUCGGCCGUGCGAACUGCUGGGCUCGAGCACUGUAGAGGCAGGCGGAAUUCCGGGUGUAGCGGUGGAAUGCGUAGAGAUCCGGAAGAACACCGGUGGCGAAGCGGCCUGCUGGGCAGUGGCUGACACUGAGGCGCGACAGCGUGGGGAGCAAACAGG
RNAcentral lists this ribosomal RNA (253 nucleotides) under uncultured bacterium. Its description in RNAcentral is "partial 16S ribosomal RNA". It matches the Rfam family "Bacterial small subunit ribosomal RNA", at positions 524 to 776 of the family's 1533-position model. The record is from RNAcentral.